RNAcentral lists this non-coding RNA (46 nucleotides) under Trichobilharzia regenti. The record is from RNAcentral. Lineage: Eukaryota; Metazoa; Platyhelminthes; Trematoda; Strigeidida; Schistosomatidae.
GUACUGAUGAAGAGUCCCAAAACAGGGCGAAACGGUUGUCCAGUAA